Nymphaea colorata (pocket water lily) is the source of this 1099-nucleotide long non-coding RNA. RefSeq lists it as uncharacterized. Lineage: Eukaryota; Viridiplantae; Streptophyta; Magnoliopsida; Nymphaeales; Nymphaeaceae. The transcript has 2 exons. The record is from RefSeq and is a predicted model, not a curated record.
UCCUAGGAAGAGUAAACUUUGUCAUACUAUUUAUGAGAUUCACCUGAGAGAUAAGGAGGAAGCCAGGCAGGCUCUAUACUCAAUUCCUGCAUUCAAGUCUAUCAGGCAAUCAAACCUAGGUUAUUGAUGUUCACUUAACAGGGCAAUCCCUGACUCUGUGAUCAACUUGAAGCUCCUCCGCGAGUGCGUGCUCAGCCCUUUGAAGAGCCCGCAGAGGCACUCCAUUCUCCUGGUACUACCACUGCUUCAUCUGAUCUCCACCUCCCCAGACAUACCCAAGUCUGUGAUCCACUUCAAUAAGUCUGAGACAGUCCCCUCCUUCACCCUUUUAAAUGCUCUCACAAUUCUCCAGCUUUUAUCCGCUCACUAAGAAUCUCUACCUUCAUCGUCUCUUUUCAUUCUCCUCUUCCUUUCACCUCUUUCUUAGUUCAUCAACUUCACCAUGGGGUUUCCUGUUCACAUGAAACUUCUUUUUGUUCUUCUAUCUCUUGUGCUUGUCUUUCAACCGGCAUUAGCCCGUCCCGGCGGCGCCGGCAGUCUGCACCUUGAUCAUGGUUACAGGCUGCACCAAACAAGAAGGCCGAGAAUCACAAGGAAGAUGGAACACCUACUAAAACCAGACUUUUAUACCGAUGGAUGGCAUUCCAGGCUGCCCAGGGAAGCGGACAACUCAGUCAGGCUAGCAGGAUCGAGACUACCCGAUUGCUCACACGCAUGCGGAUCGUGCUUGCCAUGCAGGCGGGUGAUGGUGAGCUUCGUGUGUUCGACGUAUGAAGAGGCAGAGACAUGUCCCAUGGCCUACAAAUGCAUGUGCAAUAGCAGAUCUUACCCUGUGCCUUGAGAUUCUCUCUAGCUGAAACUAAAGCUGCACUCUAUGUAAACUCUGCAACAUGAAGCAGCUCGCGACUCCAUUGUAUCUUACUAAAAGUCCUUUUCUUCUGUUGCCCACCGCAUCCCUCACAAGUUUUUAACCUAUUUCACUGUUUUACUUUUGCUCCAUUAAGGUCCACUAUAUGAUGUAAGAGAUUGACAGGUCUGGUUGAGAAUGAUGCCAUGAAGUUCUCAUCUUCUGGAUAUCUUACACUUCUUUUCUUACUAA